GGGGGGCGCGGCGCCGCGGGGCGGGCGGGGAAAAGCGGGAGUGCGGGCGGGGCUGGGAAGCCGGGCGCGCUGCGGUCCGGCUCCGAAGCCGGAGCACCGAGGAAGUGAAAGGGACGGGAGCGGCGGGGAGGGCCGCGGCUCGCGCUGUCUGGUGAUAUUUGUUAGGAGGGGAAGAGUUGACCAUUUCACAUUGUAUGAGGAUUGGG
Herpailurus yagouaroundi (jaguarundi) is the source of this 206-nucleotide long non-coding RNA. RefSeq lists it as uncharacterized. The record is from RefSeq and is a predicted model, not a curated record. Lineage: Eukaryota; Metazoa; Chordata; Mammalia; Carnivora; Felidae. The transcript has 2 exons.